This 386-nucleotide ribosomal RNA is filed under the name uncultured bacterium. Its description in RNAcentral is "bacterial SSU rRNA". It matches the Rfam family "Bacterial small subunit ribosomal RNA", at positions 30 to 416 of the family's 1533-position model. The record is from RNAcentral.
AUUGAACGCUGGCGGCAUGCCUUACACAUGCAAGUCGAACGGCAGCGCGGGGCAACCUGGCGGCGAGUGGCGAACGGGUGAGUAAUAUAUCGGAACAUACCCUAGAGUGGGGGAUAACGUAGCGAAAGUUACGCUAAUACCGCAUACGCACUAAGGUGGAAAGUGGGGGAUUCGCAAGAACCUCAUGCUCAUGGAGUGGCCGAUAUCUGAUUAGCUAGUUGGUGAGGUAAAGGCUCACCAAGGCAACGAUCAGUAGCUGGUUUGAGAGAACGACCAGCCACACUGGAACUGAGACACGGUCCAGACUCCUACGGAGGCAGCAGUGGGGAAUUUUGGGACAAUGGGGGCAACCCUGAUCCAGCAAUGCCGCGUGAGUGAAGAAGGCC